UCCUACGGGAGGCAGCAGUAGGGAAUCUUCCGCAAUGGACGAAAGUCUGACGGAGCAACGCCGCGUGUGUGAAGAAGGUCUUCGGAUCGUAAAGCACUGUUAUUAGAGAAGAACAACCGGUAGAGUAACUGUUACCGGCUUGACGGUAUCUAACCAGAAAGCCACGGCUAACUACGUGCCAGCAGCCGCGGUAAUACGUAGGUGGCAAGCGUUGUCCGGAUUUAUUGGGCGUAAAGGGAGCGCAGGCGGUGACUUAAGUCUGAUGUGAAAGCCCACGGCUCAACCGUGGAAGGUCAUUGGAAACUGGGUCACUUGAGUGCAGAAGAGGAAAGUGGAAUUCCAUGUGUAGCGGUGAAAUGCGUAGAUAUAUGGAGGAACACCGGUGGCGAAAGCGGCUCUCUGGCUUGUAACUGACGCUGAGGCUCGAAAGCGUGGGGAGCAAACAGGAUUAGAUACCCUGGUAGUCCACGCCGUAAACGAUGAGUGCUAGGUGUUAGACCCUUUCCGGGGUUUAGUGCCGUAGCUAACGCAUUAAGCACUCCGCCUGGGGAGUACGACCGCAAGGUUGAAACUCAAAUGAAUUGACGG
This 588-nucleotide ribosomal RNA is filed under the name uncultured bacterium. RNAcentral's name for it is "bacterial SSU rRNA". It matches the Rfam family "Bacterial small subunit ribosomal RNA", at positions 337 to 916 of the family's 1533-position model. The record is from RNAcentral.